ACGCUAACGUUUCCAGUGAGGCCGAGUCUGCGGUGGCUCUGUCCUUUCCUGUAGUGUCUGCUAGAGAGACAUGGGGCUGUUUGAGGCCCUGCUGUGAUGCUUCAUGGCAGGGUUAUAGGUAAAUCUCAGACAUUU
Small nucleolar RNA from Monopterus albus (swamp eel), 135 nucleotides. The record is from Ensembl. Lineage: Eukaryota; Metazoa; Chordata; Actinopteri; Synbranchiformes; Synbranchidae.